This 371-nucleotide ribosomal RNA is filed under the name uncultured bacterium. RNAcentral describes it as "bacterial SSU rRNA". It matches the Rfam family "Bacterial small subunit ribosomal RNA", at positions 366 to 758 of the family's 1533-position model. The record is from RNAcentral.
CUGAAUGGGGGAACCUGACAGCCUGCCGCGUGAGUGAUGAAGGCCUUCGGGUUGUAAAGCUCUUUUGUGUGGGAAGAUAAUGACUGUACCACAAGAAUAAGCCCCGGCUAACUUCGUGCCAGCAGCCGCGGUGAGGGGGAGGGGGGCUAGCGUUGUUCGGAAUUACUGGGCGUAAAGGGUGCGUAGGUGGUUAUGUAAGUCAGAAGUGAAAGCCCUGGGCUCAACCCGGGAAUUGCUUUUGAAACUAUGUAGCUAGAGUUCGAGAGAGGUAAGUGGAAUAUCCAGUGUAGAGGUAAAAUUCGUAGAUAUUGGAUGGAAGGGCAGGGGGCGAAGGCGGCUUACUGGCUCGAUACUGACACUGAGGCACGAAA